UACGGUGAUAGAGGCGCACGGACAUAUCCGUGGCACUGCAGCUGGUGGUGGUUUACGCGCCAAAUGGUUUCAUGAUGGAGAGGAGUUAACCAUACCACCCACGGGUCUCUUUUCCAGUGGAUUCUUGAGUGUUUUAAGCAGUGGACAGGAUGAAAUUGCUUGUUGUUCACCAUCCAGCUAUUAUGUUGACAAUGACCACACAUAUGAAAAAGAGGAUUCGGGAGGCAGUGAAGUAUAUAUAAUUCCGGAUCAGAGAACUGAAUUUUCACAGCGACAC
Nerophis ophidion (straightnose pipefish) is the source of this 277-nucleotide long non-coding RNA. RefSeq lists it as uncharacterized. The transcript has 3 exons. NCBI's taxonomy places the organism in Eukaryota, Metazoa, Chordata, Actinopteri, Syngnathiformes, Syngnathidae. The record is from RefSeq and is a predicted model, not a curated record.